Molecule: transfer RNA, 84 nt
Filed under: Actinomycetota bacterium
Lineage: Bacteria; Bacillati; Actinomycetota
Description: tRNA-Leu
Rfam family: tRNA
About the family: Transfer RNA (tRNA) molecules are approximately 80 nucleotides in length. Their secondary structure includes four short double-helical elements and three loops (D, anti-codon, and T loops).
Source: RNAcentral
GCCCGGGUGGCGGAAUGGUAUACGCGAGGGUCUUAAAAAUCCUCGGUCCUUCGGACCAUGUGGGUUCGAGUCCCACCCCGGGCA